This 1100-nucleotide ribosomal RNA is filed under the name Lactiplantibacillus plantarum. RNAcentral describes it as "bacterial SSU rRNA". It matches the Rfam family "Bacterial small subunit ribosomal RNA", at positions 113 to 1197 of the family's 1533-position model. The record is from RNAcentral. Lineage: Bacteria; Bacillati; Bacillota; Bacilli; Lactobacillales; Lactobacillaceae.
ACACGUGGGAAACCUGCCCAGAAGCGGGGGAUAACACCUGGAAACAGAUGCUAAUACCGCAUAACAACUUGGACCGCAUGGUCCGAGUUUGAAAGAUGGCUUCGGCUAUCACUUUUGGAUGGUCCCGCGGCGUAUUAGCUAGAUGGUGGGGUAACGGCUCACCAUGGCAAUGAUACGUAGCCGACCUGAGAGGGUAAUCGGCCACAUUGGGACUGAGACACGGCCCAAACUCCUACGGGAGGCAGCAGUAGGGAAUCUUCCACAAUGGACGAAAGUCUGAUGGAGCAACGCCGCGUGAGUGAAGAAGGGUUUCGGCUCGUAAAACUCUGUUGUUAAAGAAGAACAUAUCUGAGAGUAACUGUUCAGGUAUUGACGGUAUUUAACCAGAAAGCCACGGCUAACUACGUGCCAGCAGCCGCGGUAAUACGUAGGUGGCAAGCGUUGUCCGGAUUUAUUGGGCGUAAAGCGAGCGCAGGCGGUUUUUUAAGUCUGAUGUGAAAGCCUUCGGCUCAACCGAAGAAGUGCAUCGGAAACUGGGAAACUUGAGUGCAGAAGAGGACAGUGGAACUCCAUGUGUAGCGGUGAAAUGCGUAGAUAUAUGGAAGAACACCAGUGGCGAAGGCGGCUGUCUGGUCUGUAACUGACGCUGAGGCUCGAAAGUAUGGGUAGCAAACAGGAUUAGAUACCCUGGUAGUCCAUACCGUAAACGAUGAAUGCUAAGUGUUGGAAGGGUUUCCGCCCUUCAGUGCUGCAGCUAACGCAUUAAGCAUUCCGCCUGGGGAGUACGGCCGCAAGGCUGAAACUCAAAGGAAUUGACGGGGGCCCGCACAAGCGGUGGAGCAUGUGGUUUAAUUCGAAGCUACGCGAAGAACCUUACCAGGUCUUGACAUACUAUGCAAAUCUAAGAGAUUAGACGUUCCCUUCGGGGACAUGGAUACAGGUGGUGCAUGGUUGUCGUCAGCUCGUGUCGUGAGAUGUUUGGGUUAAGUCCCGCAACGAGCGCAACCCUUAUUAUCAUUUGCCAGCAUUAAAUUGGGCACUCUGGUGAGACUGCCGGUGACAACCCGAGGAAAAGGGGGGGAUAAGGCCAAACAUCCAUG